Long non-coding RNA from Anolis carolinensis (green anole), 1883 nucleotides. Lineage: Eukaryota; Metazoa; Chordata; Lepidosauria; Squamata; Anolidae. The record is from Ensembl.
AUGGAGGCUCAAAGAUCUCCCCCCACACCUUUUUUCUGCUUUUUAAUUUUUCAAAACAAUUUCUUACAUCAUCACGUCCUGGGUGGCGGCUUCGGAAGAAAAAAUGGCCAGUUCGUCUCAUUGAAUGUUGUAGAAACAUUAUUAAUAUACCACUCUAUCUCCCAGGGCCCCCCUGUAUACAACAGUAAUCUAGCAAAUGGAGGUCCCGCCAUUGUUUAUAUUCAAGCUUCUUUUGGCGGGCCAGAAGAUCUCUUUUGAAUUUUUCUUCAGUUUUGCGGGCUUCGAUACUGGCCUUUUUUUGCUUUGCUUCCUCUUCUUUUUUUCCGGCAAGUUCCCAGAGGGGGCGCCUUUCCCUUUUACUUAUUGCUGGGAGCUUCUUGACAGUACUUUCUUUACUUGUAGUCAGAACAGCCUCCUCGGAGCUCUUUUUCUCCAUCAAGGAGGGGAUUGACGGAGUCCGUAGAGGAUCCUCAGCCCACACCCAGAUAUUCAGCUUUUUUGUUUUUUUCAUUUCCCUAACUACACUAGCUCUAGAGCCUGACUAGCUCUAACUAAAAAAAUAAAAAAUUGAUAUAAUAAAAAUAGAGAUUAUAAAAAAUAGAGAUAAUAAAAAAUAGAGAUAAUAAAAAAUAGAGAUAAUAAAAAAAUAAAGAUAAUUUAAAAAAAGAUAAAUUAGGGUUAGGGUUCGGGUAAAGGAAAGGGUAAGGGGUUCAAUAACAACAACAACACCUACACACUACACACUACAAACAACACACUACAAACAACACUACAAACUACACACAAUAUAAACAACACUCUACAAACUACACUCUACACACUACAACCUACACACUACAUUCUACACACUAUACAAUAAAUAAAGAUAAAAAUUAAUAACAAAGACAAAAAUUAAGAAGAAAAGAAAAAAGAAAAAAAGAGAAAAAGAAAGGUAAAGAUAAAAGGUAAAGAUCAAAAGUAAAGAUCAAAGGUAAAGAUCAAAGAUCAAGAGAGAAAAUAAAAUAAGAAUAAGAAAAAUUGAAUCAAGGAAACAAGAGCUGAAAGAUUGAAUAAGACCUUGCUAUCACUUGCUACACCAACCACCUGCACCUCUACCCAGUCCAGAAUAGUGGUGGGCUUUAAAGAGAAGUAAAUAGCUUUCUUUUGCUGAAAGAGAGAAAGUGGUCACCCCAACAAAUUCCAUGGGUCAGUGGAAAUUUGAACCUUGAUUCCUACAUCUCCAGGCCCAUCCAGAUAUUACUUUAUUCCAGGAGCUCCUGCAGCAUUCAGAGGGUGGCCAGACACUGUUCCCUGUUAAACCGGAAGCAAUUGCUACAAAAGGCAAAAAACACGAGAUUUCCAGGUGCAGGAAUAUCUAAGUUUUUAGCUGAAUAUCCGGAUCUUUAUGUCCCUGCAAUUGGAAAUCAGGGAAUUGUUUAUCUGGGUUUGUUGCCGUGUUUUAGAUUUUUGUUCCUGAUUGGUCAGUUCCUAAAAAGAAGGUGACACUUGAGUAGAAGGCAAAAACUUUCUCCUGGGAAGAGGAACUUCAUCCUUCACAUGUUUAGUAAAGUUUGUGGCAGAAAAAUGAAGUUCCUGGGGCGCAGCAAGUACUUUCACAUGAAGUAGUACACAAUGAAACAGGAAGAUACACUUUCGAACCAGGAACAAAAUGUCAUCAUUACUGUAAUUAGUCAGACCUUGUUGUAUGGCCAUCUGUGCAGACAAGUUUUGUGGUGUACUUGUGCCAGGGAACAACAGGAUGAUGUUGCCAGAUCAUACAUGUUGGUUCCUCAUUGGAUGUAUGUUGACAACAUGGGUACAGUUCAGUAAAUGGCAAAAGCUUAUUACUGGCUGUUGGGACAUGGACGUGUUGUAGAGUAAUGUAAAUACUGAGAGCCAAGGUC